Molecule: transfer RNA, 78 nt
Filed under: Phyllobacteriaceae bacterium
Lineage: Bacteria; Pseudomonadati; Pseudomonadota; Alphaproteobacteria; Hyphomicrobiales; Phyllobacteriaceae
Also listed under: 4 other names
Description: tRNA-Arg
Rfam family: tRNA
About the family: Transfer RNA (tRNA) molecules are approximately 80 nucleotides in length. Their secondary structure includes four short double-helical elements and three loops (D, anti-codon, and T loops).
Source: RNAcentral
GCACCCGUAGCUCAGCUGGAUCAGAGCGCUGCCCUCCGAAGGCAGAGGUCACAGGUUCGAAUCCUGUCGGGUGCGCCA